GUUUACACUCAUCGGGGAAGGGUGAGAACCUUCGACUAAGGUUCGAUUCGAGCGAAAGCGAGAGAACGUUGCCACAGGCAACGGCCCGAAGGGUGAGGAGCGAAGCGACGAAUAAUCCUUCCCCCACCACCA
This 132-nucleotide small RNA is filed under the name Escherichia coli. Its description in RNAcentral is "RtT sRNA". It matches the Rfam family "RtT RNA". From Rfam's summary of the family: This family represents a bacterial cis-regulatory element known as RtT RNA. The record is from RNAcentral. RNAcentral also lists the same sequence under 2 other names. Lineage: Bacteria; Pseudomonadati; Pseudomonadota; Gammaproteobacteria; Enterobacterales; Enterobacteriaceae.